This 486-nucleotide ribosomal RNA is filed under the name uncultured bacterium. RNAcentral's name for it is "partial 16S ribosomal RNA". It matches the Rfam family "Bacterial small subunit ribosomal RNA", at positions 30 to 507 of the family's 1533-position model. The record is from RNAcentral.
AUUGAACGCUGGCGGCAUGCCUUACACAUGCAAGUCGAACGGCAGCACGGGUGCUUGCACCUGGUGGCGAGUGGCGAACGGGUGAGUAAUACAUCGGAACAUGUCCUGUAGUGGGGGAUAGCCCGGCGAAAGCCGGAUUAAUACCGCAUACGAUCUACGGAUGAAAGCGGGGGGCCUUCGGGCCUCGCGCUAUAGGGUUGGCCGAUGGCUGAUUAGCUAGUUGGUGGGGUAAAGGCCUACCAAGGCGACGAUCAGUAGCUGGUCUGAGAGGACGACCAGCCAAACUGGGACUGAGACACGGCCCAGACUCCUACGGGAGGCAGCAGUGGGGAAUUUUGGACAAUGGGCGAAAGCCUGAUCCAGCAAUGCCGCGUGUGUGAAGAAGGCCUUCGGGUUGUAAAGCACUUUUGUCCGGAAAGAAAUCCUUGGCCCUAAUACGGUCGGGGGAUGACGGUACCGGAAGAAUAAGCACCGGCUAACUACGUG